RNAcentral lists this unclassified non-coding RNA (138 nucleotides) under soil metagenome. RNAcentral's name for it is "partial internal transcribed spacer 1". The record is from RNAcentral.
CAGAGUUGCAAAACUCCCAACCAUUGUGAACGAACCCGUUAUAGUUGCUUCGGCGGGUGGUGCGCUGAAAACCGCCCGCCGGCAGCAUGCAAACUCUAGAUUACAGUGGAUCUCUGAGUAGCUUAUUCAAUAAGUUAA